RNAcentral lists this ribosomal RNA (273 nucleotides) under uncultured bacterium. RNAcentral's name for it is "partial 16S ribosomal RNA". It matches the Rfam family "Bacterial small subunit ribosomal RNA", at positions 524 to 796 of the family's 1533-position model. The record is from RNAcentral.
GACAGAGGCCUCGAGCGUUAGGCGGAAUCACUGGGCUUAAAGCGUGUGUAGGCGGAUCGUUAAGUACCUUGUGAAAUCCCACGGCUCAACCGUGGAACGGCUGGGUAUACUGGCGGUCUUGGGCCACCUAGGGGCGAGCGGAACAAACGGUGGAGCGGUGAAAUGCGUAGAUAUCGUUUGGAACGCCGAUGGUGAAAACAGCUCGCUGGGGGUGUGCCGACGCUGAGACACGAAAGCCAGGGGAGCAAACGGGAUUAGAAACCCCAGUAGUCC